RNAcentral lists this ribosomal RNA (432 nucleotides) under uncultured bacterium. RNAcentral describes it as "partial 16S ribosomal RNA". It matches the Rfam family "Bacterial small subunit ribosomal RNA", at positions 29 to 507 of the family's 1533-position model. The record is from RNAcentral.
ACGAACGCUGGCGGCAUGCCUAACACAUGCAAGUCGAACGAGACCUUCGGGUCUAGUGGCGCACGGGUGCGUAACGCGUGGGAACCUGCCCUUAGGUUCGGAAUAACUCCCCGGAAGGGGUGCUAAUACCGGAUAAUGUCUUCGGACCAAAGAUUUAUCGCCUUUGGAUGGGCCCGCGUUGGAUUAGCUAGUUGGUAGGGUAAAAGCCUACCAAGGCGACGAUCCAUAGCUGGUCUGAGAGGAUGAUCAGCCACACUGGGACUGAGACACGGCCCAGACUACUACGGGAGGCAGCAGUGGGGAAUAUUGGACAAUGGGCGAAAGCCUGAUCCAGCAAUGCCGCGUGAGUGAUGAAGGCCUUAGGGUUGUAAAGCUCUUUUACCCGGGAUGAUAAUGACAGUACCGGGAGAAUAAGCUCCGGCUAACUCCGUG